RNAcentral lists this transfer RNA (81 nucleotides) under Streptomyces flaveus. RNAcentral's name for it is "tRNA-Lys". Lineage: Bacteria; Bacillati; Actinomycetota; Actinomycetes; Kitasatosporales; Streptomycetaceae. The record is from RNAcentral.
GGACCGUCGGGCACCGCCCGGCAAGGGGCGGCGGGGACUUUUAAUCCAUUGGUUGUGGGUUCGAGUCCCACAGGGCCUACC